GACGAACGCUGGCGGCGUGCUUAACACAUGCAAGUCGAACGGAAAGGCCCUGCUUUUGUGGGGUGCUCGAGUGGCGAACGGGUGAGUAACACGUGAGUAACCUGCCCUUGACUUUGGGAUAACUUCAGGAAACUGGGGCUAAUACCGGAUAGGAGCUCCUGCUGCAUGGUGGGGGUUGGAAAGUUUCGGCGGUUGGGGAUGGACUCGCGGCUUAUCAGCUUGUUGGUGGGGUAGUGGCUUACCAAGGCUUUGACGGGUGGCCGGCCUGAGAGGGGGACCGGCCACAUUGGGACUGAGAUACGGCCCAGACUCCUACGGGAGGCAGCAGUGGGGAAUAUUGCACAAUGGGCGGAAGCCUGAUGCAGCAACGCCGCGUGCGGGAUGACGGCCUUCGGGUUGUAAACCGCUUUCGCCUGUGACGAAGCGUGAGUGACGGUAAUGGGUAAAGAAGCACCGGCUAACUACGUG
This 468-nucleotide ribosomal RNA is filed under the name uncultured bacterium. Its description in RNAcentral is "partial 16S ribosomal RNA". It matches the Rfam family "Bacterial small subunit ribosomal RNA", at positions 28 to 507 of the family's 1533-position model. The record is from RNAcentral.